Molecule: ribosomal RNA, 497 nt
Filed under: uncultured bacterium
Lineage: Bacteria
Description: partial 16S ribosomal RNA
Rfam family: Bacterial small subunit ribosomal RNA
Source: RNAcentral
GACGAACGCUGGCGGCGUGCCUAAUACAUGCAAGUUGAGCGCUGAAGGUUGGUACUUGUACCAACUGGAUGAGCAGCGAACGGGUGAGUAACGCGUGGGGAAUCUGCCUUUUAGCGGGGGACAACAUUUGGAAACGAAUGCUAAUACCGCAUAAAAACUUUAAACACAAGUUUUAAGUUUGAAAGAUGCAAUUGCAUCACUCAAAGAUGAUCCCGCGUUGUAUUAGCUAGUUGGUGAGGUAAAGGCUCACCAAGGCGAUGAUACAUAGCCGACCUGAGAGGGAGAUCGGCCAAAAUGGGACGGAGACACGGCACAAACUCCUACGGGAGGCAGCAGUAGGGAAUCUUCGGCAAUGGACGAAAGUCUGACCGAGAAACGCCGCGUGAGUGAAGAAGGUUUUCGGAUCGUAAAACUCUGUUGGUAGAGAAGAAAGUGGGGGAGAGUGGAAAGCUCAUCAAGUGACGGUAACUACCGAGAAAGGGACGGCUAACUACGUG